UCCCAAGUGUGGUUCAUUCUGUAAUCAAGAUUGGCUAACUCAAGCUUUCCACAGCCAGACACUCUGCUACACCAAACUCACUAAAUUUACUAUGUUUAAUUUAAUCUCUGAGGUGCCUUGAGGAAAUCCCUGGAAAUAUAUCAGCACUACUGUUGUCAGAAGGAGAUGGGGAAACCGUGGCACAGAGAAGGAAAGUGGGUUGCCCAGAAUCAUCCAGCAGGCCAGUGGCAUCUUGGAAAGGGGAGGCUCUUCUACAUCUGAGAGGAAGGGCGGGAACAGCAGUGAGAUGGAAGAGGAGUAAAAAGGCUCUGGAGUGAACCACACCUUGACAAGACACAAGGCCUUUGAACCUGGGACAGACACAUAGGAAAGAAAUAAAUUCUGGAGCAGACCUUUUUAUCCUAAAACAGGAAAAUAUUGGAACUGCAUGGGGUGCUCGGCUGAGAAUCUCUGGACUGUUUAUUUUGUAUAAAAGCUGUCUGCAAAAUCUUCCUGACUCAGCUGGAGCAUGAAAACAACUUGCCAAACAUCAGCUCGAGCAGGAGGUUCCAACUAAUUGGAACUCUAGUUAUUAAGCUGCUGUUGGCACAAGUAGUUCCUGGAACCACAGAAAAGUGAAAUGAAUGUGUUGGGAAGUAUAAGAUGGGGAGGCAGAUGAUGUCUUCACCUUUAGUCAGUAGACAAUUGUUAUAUCAUAGCUUCAUAGCUCAGUAUCUGUGUGGGAGGUGUGUGUGUAAAAUACGUGCAUUCACACACAUAUUUACACUGUGUAUGUAUGUUCAUAUAGCAUACUAAACCAGUGAUCAACAACUUUAAACAACUGCAGAGCCACUUUAGCAUUGAUAGGAGCUAUUAAGGAAAGCUGAUGAAACCAAUAACAAUACAAAUGUUUUAAUAUAAAAGAGCUAAUAUUCAAAAGUGCAAUUUUUUGAUAUUUUUUUUCUUCUGAGCCUGCAUUCUGCUGGCAGGGGCAGCUAAGAACUCGGCUGCCCUCAGGAGGAAAGGCUUGUCGAGUGUCACACAUCUUGUGUGUCAAUAACUUAUAGCCUAGGGGAAGGCACACUGAGCUAUAAGCCAAGAGCCCAGUCUUCUAACUGUUUUUAGUUUUUCAACAGUUCACAACUCUUAUCAACCAAGUCCUCAUACCUCUUAUCUUAGGGGAGGCAAUGAGCAUUCACUCUUUAUACAGGUAAAACACCAGAGAGAUUGGACAAGGUCACUGCAGGCAGACCUAAGAAUAGAACUCAUGUCUCUAAUAUAAUAGACUCGGGUCUCAUCCAGUCAUUAAUUAAGUACCCUUACAAAAAUUUUGCCCAGUUCUUCACUUUGCCUGGUAUACUGUUCAGUGAAAUGGAUUCACCACUCUAUCAUAGUCCUGUUGCAGGUGCUGGGAUGUGUGCUGAAAAGUAUGGAUAUAGGAGCAGUUGUCCCCACAUGGAUCCCUCAUCCAGAAGAUGGAAGAGCCUUGGUGUGAAAUUAGCAGCAAACAGAAUUAGGUUGAAAGUAAAUUUACUCUGAUUAAAAUGCCACUACUCACUUUGAUGUCAACAUAACUUCUUGCAUCCCACUUACCAGUGUAGUAUUUUGGGUUGUUAAAGGAACCCAGGGGUUCUCGAACAAUAUUAUUAUGGCCUCCAAAAACCAAAACAUGAACUUUCAGUCUGGAUGACAUUUGCUUCACGUAAAGGAAAAUGAAAAACAAAGGAAGAACAAAUACAAUUCAGAGGAGAGAACAAUGUGUUACACAUGCUAAUAGACAUCUUGAACUGGAUGACAGCACUGCCACCUAGACUGACACUCAGCCUGAAUACAUUUAAAGGUACAGAACCAGAAAGCAGAAUCAUAUAAUCUCUCUUACAUUUACUAGUUCAUAACUGCAUGGUCCCUGCAAUAGUUCUAUGGACCGCUGAUUACCAUUCAGAUAUAAUAAUCAGUACUUUUUUCAGAGUGAGAACGCAAGAAUCUUGGUAACAUCCUUAGCUAUACUCCACAUAUCCCCAUACCCUCUCACCCACAACUUCCUUCUUUCAACUGGAAAGAAAGAUAAUUUCAUUGUUUAAAACUAUGGCAGAACAAAUUACUAUAUUUUAUUCAUAAUCUCUUGAAUAUUUUUCUUACAUUUGUCCACAUUGCCUGGAAGUCCCAUGAUCGCUACGGUGCACUGGGUUGUUCAAGUCAAUUGUUUCUGCCUUAAGAUAAUAUGCAUUUCAUUGACAUGUUUCUAAGCUAUCUUCAUCUACUUAAUAAAUGAAUUAUUCAAAAGCCCAUCCAUUAUACUAUAACCAAAAUCAAUUGCUUUGCUAUUAGCUGGAUAUGUUCGUGUUCAAGUUCUGACUCUAAUACACAAUGGAUACUUAAAUAGAUAUGGCAGGUUGUCAUGCUUGCAGUGAUCAGAAAAAAGUCAGUAACAUUAGGCAUUUACUAUAGUGUUCGGGAAGAGGUCAGUCAGGACUCAUUUGGGAUUACCAAGGAGAGAGAGAGAAUACCCCAGAAAAUUAUAGAUAAUAGAGCAGGGUCCAGCGUUAUUUUAGUACAAUGGGCAUGGUUUUGGAAAGGAACCAUGUUUUACCUCCCAUUUAUUACAUUUGUAAUGGUUGCUGUUAUGGGAGCAACCAGAAAACAUUCCAGGAUUAAGAGGAAGACUCAAAAGAAAAGGCACAGAUUGGUAGGACAGAAUUAGAGAUGAGCUCGUUCCUCAAAGCUCUGUUCUUUCUCAAAUUUCAUGGCUGUCCAUAGGCUAACAGAUAUUUAGGCCUGAACUCUAACCUGGGCAAAAUAACUGGAACCUCUACGUACCCUACCUGCCCAGGGGCACUUUAAAACUCAUGUGUGUUGGGAGAAAUGUAAUAUUAGUUAAUUCCCAGAAGUCCCGCCAACUCUUUGCUAGAGGAAAAUGGCAUCACACUUGCCAGCCAGGCUUCACUUUUCAACCUUGUGAAAGAACCACUGACCAGGUUUAGAACUUUUGGGCAUUACUGGAAAACAAAAUGGGGGCAUGCCCUGAUUAGGACUAAUACUUUAUAGGCAAGAAAAGGCCAGUGCUAUCAGAGGCAGGACUUUGAACAAAUUUCAAGAUACAUGAAUUGAGACAAGCAAGGCUCUGCCAGUACAGAAAGAACAUUUCUUCUAGAGAUAGGUAAACUUUAAAAGGAAUGGAUUUUGGACAUGCAUAAGCAUCCAAUAGAGCAGAAGUUGGAUUCAGAAAAGCUUUCUCAUAGGAUUUGUAGCAUUGCUGAUCCUAGAGAUGUCUGGAUGUGAGAGUCAUUUUCCUUGUGGUGUGUUCGGACUUCUGAUUCUAGGCUGGAAACCUGAAGUGAACACAUUUUUCUUUGAACUGGGUUUUUGAUAUGGGCAAAUUGUUGGGCAGGUGGUGGGGGUCAGUUGGUCUAUCCAUAAAUCCUGGUCAGUAAUUGCUUAUUUCUGAAUGGGUGAUGGAUUGUUCUGUUGUGGGAAAAGGUGCUAGUGGCUUUCAUGUCAGUGGCCAGUACUGUAUAAGCACCCAGAACGAAACCCUCCAUAGAAAAGGAAAAGAUGCCAUGCAGUAACUAAACCCAGAGACUCAUUCAAGGAAUUAUGAGGGUUAAAGUGUUUUUCUCUGUCUGGGCCUCUAAACCCCUUUGAGCUUUCUUUGUGUGACAGAACAGCAGGUCACAUCCAAACUCGCUUUUCUAGGCCAUGUGGUCUCUGCAAAUAGCCUUGGACUAAGCAUUUCUGAGGUGAAAAAGUUCAGGAACUGAGGGAAGAAAGGAUGGUGGCACAGAGCUUAAGUGAUGAGGCCCUGGAGAGAGAUUGAGAGAAAGUCACAAGGCUAAGGUGCCUUACUUAAAGUUUCUGUAAGAGACCGUUUUUUAUGUGCACUCUGUUCCAGGAAACAGGACUGGUGUACACUUUGUAAAUAAACACAUUACACUAAGAAAAUGAUGGCUGCUCACCAUUGAUUUCUGCUCCAAACUGGAAACUGACCUGCAAGUGCCUGAAUUCUGCUGCUGCUUGGCAAAGGAGUAUUGGUUCUUCAACUAGACUUAUGUGAAAGGAGGUGCCGUAAGGUGCAAUAAAAGAAAUGGGGAGGUGUGUUCUUUGCUCAGUGAUGUGCUCAUCAAUGGGGCUAUAUAAAAAGAUUGAGGCCCCUGAAAACCUCAUUCUCUUUCUCUCUCUCUCUAAUUCUGAUUAAGCAGAGUACAACGAACUUUCAUUCUCUCUAACAACAUCCUUUAAUUAGUGAGAAACUGUCAAGUCAUCUAGGUCGCAGGUUAGAGAUGAUGAUUAUGGUGGCUUAGGAAUCAGUGUAUUUGACUUUAACUACCAGACAUUUUCUGCUAUACAAAAAGGGAAUGUGAUCCUGCAUUGGAGGCAUUAAAUGAGAAGGGAGCAUUUUCAUUAAGAAGACUCUGAAAUCUGAUUUAUGGUUUAUUGGUUUACUGUAUCUCAUGGUGGAAAAAAGAAACCCCAUAAAUAAAAUUGCUAGAGUGAGUUCAGUGCGUAUU
This is a long non-coding RNA of Chelonia mydas (Green sea turtle), 4484 nucleotides long. RefSeq lists it as uncharacterized. The transcript has 3 exons. Lineage: Eukaryota; Metazoa; Chordata; Testudines; Cheloniidae. The record is from RefSeq and is a predicted model, not a curated record.